Molecule: ribosomal RNA, 478 nt
Filed under: uncultured bacterium
Lineage: Bacteria
Description: partial 16S ribosomal RNA
Rfam family: Bacterial small subunit ribosomal RNA
Source: RNAcentral
GACGAACGCUGGCGGCGUGCUUAACGCAUGCAAGUCGAACGGUAAGGCCCUUCGGGGUACACGAGUGGCGAACGGGUGAGUAACACGUGGGUGAUCUGCCCUGCACUCUGGGAUAAGCCUGGGAAACUGGGUCUAAUACCGGAUAUGAGCUCCUGUCGCAUGGCGGGGGUUGGAAAGGUUUACUGGUGCAGAAUGGGCCCGCGGCCUAUCAGCUUGUUGGUGGGGGAAUGGCCUACCAAGGCGACGACGGGGAGCCGGCCUGAGAGGGCGACCGGCCACACGGGGACGGAGACACGGCCCGGACUCGUACGGGAGGCAUCAGUGGGGAAUAUUGCACAAUGGGAGGAAGCCUGAUGCAGCGACGCCGCGUGGGGGGUGACGGCCUUCCGGUUGUAAACCUCUUUCAGCAGGGACGAAGCGAGAGUGAUGGUACCUGCAGAAGAAGCUCCGGCCAACUACGUGCCAGCAGCCGCCGUAA